CUCAUAACCAGAGUACAUAAAGCAUUUGCAACGUGUCAUCUCAUCGUUUUCAUUCGUCACCUGUACAGUGCAGCAGGUCUUCCUCCAUUCACCUGGCAGUGAUGGCAGAAGCAGCUACCAGAACAAGAGGGCGAGUCUGUGUCAUCACGUGCUUGUUUCUCUACGUGUUACUGGUGAUCUACUCGAUGCUGUGUCUCGUUUACAUCGCAAGCUGGGCCAAAAACAAACUGGCAGAAGAAAACUAUAAAAAUGCAGCCAUCACAAAGCUAUUUGAAUUCACAAAUUCACUACCUAACAAGAACCAGCUGGAAAUAUUCAGGGAAAUCCUCCAGACAGCAGUAGAAGAAGAAGAGAGACUGAAGGCAGAAGACUACUUCUACAUGGUAACUCUCUCAAGAGUUUUUGAUGAAAAAGUUGAUCUCAUUACUCCUAAACUGGAACUACUGGAAACAUUAUCAGCUGAUUUUCUAGAACUGCGGGAAAUAAUUGCAAUUGGGACACGAUUAUUAAAGAAUCUCAGAGCUCACUUAGACAUGAAACUGGCUCUGCUGGAAGAAUAGAGGGUGCAGAGAAAUGAAUGAUGAGCUUCAUAAAACCGUCAAACAACAAUCUGAUUUUUUUUGUUUCCAUCUCUAUCCCUGUACAUCUGUGUUGUGCAUAUUCCGUUUUUGUGAAAUUACAUUUCAUGAAAUGCAAUUUUCUUAAUUUUUUGUUUUUCUUUUUGUUUCCAAGUAAAAUCGAACAUAUUCCUUCAAAUUAUACAUAUUUAAAUUCUUUCAGUUAAUGUUUGGCACAUUUUUUACUUUAUGACAUCUUUGACCAAUGAUUCUUCUACUGUAAAUCAAGUGUGUGCUUAAAAUAUUACACAUCAUUUUACAUCCUAAAUACUAUUAAAAGUCUUGAGUAAUGCUUAAUAAUCCAGGUUAGGACAUCUCUGCUUUGGAAUCUGGAUUAUACUAUGUACAGAUUUAAUUUCCCCAAGCACGAAAGCUUAAAAACAAGCAAACAACAACAAGAAAAAAUCAAAAAACAAAACAAAAGGCAAACAAACAGCCAUCCCUCAAGACUUUCUCCAUUUAAAGCAAUGCAUUAUCAGGGAUUGUAACAUCUAGUCCUUUUACUGAAUCACCCUGCACAGCGCCACUCUCUUAGAAAUUAUACAUGUGUACAACAAAAUGUUUUUUAAAAACUUUUAUUUUACAUUCAAAUUCAGACCCAGAAUGUAAAGCAAGAAUAGGCAAAGUUUUAUUUUAAAUAAAAUGCCACACUGAUAAACUUUCCAAUGCUUGAAAGUUUGGAUGGACAUAUUUGCAUACCUGAGAGCUGAGUCUGUUUCCAGAGUCCAGUUUGUGAUUAAAUCUAAGUGAUAAUUACUGCAGAU
Molecule: long non-coding RNA, 1381 nt
Organism: Oreochromis niloticus (Nile tilapia)
Lineage: Eukaryota; Metazoa; Chordata; Actinopteri; Cichliformes; Cichlidae
Source: Ensembl